Molecule: ribosomal RNA, 254 nt
Filed under: uncultured bacterium
Lineage: Bacteria
Description: partial 16S ribosomal RNA
Rfam family: Bacterial small subunit ribosomal RNA
Source: RNAcentral
UACGAAGGGGGCUAGCGUUGUUCGGAAUCACUGGGCGUAAAGCGCACGUAGGCGGGUCGUUAAGUCGGAGGUGAAAUCCCAAGGCUCAACCUUGGAACUGCCUUCGAUACUGGCGAUCUUCGAGUCCGGGAGAGGUGAGUGGAACUCCGAGUGUAGAGGUGAAAUUCGUAGAUAUUCGGAGGAACACCAGUGGCGAAGGCGGCUCACUGGCCCGGUACUGACGCUGAGGUGCGAAAGCGUGGGGAGCAAACAGG